This 253-nucleotide ribosomal RNA is filed under the name uncultured bacterium. RNAcentral describes it as "partial 16S ribosomal RNA". It matches the Rfam family "Bacterial small subunit ribosomal RNA", at positions 524 to 776 of the family's 1533-position model. The record is from RNAcentral.
UACGUAGGGUGCGAGCGUUGUCCGGAAUUAUUGGGCGUGAAGAGCUCGUAGGCGGUUUGUCGCGUCGGAUGUGAAAGCCCGGGGCUUAACCCUGGGUCUGCAUUCGAUACGGGCAGACUGGAGUGUGGUAGGGGAGAUCGGAAUUCCUGGUGUAGCGGUGAAAUGCGCAGAUAUCAGGAGGAACACCGGUGGCGAAGGCGGCUCACUGGCUCAUUACUGACGCUCAGGCGCGACAGCGUGGGGAUCAAACAGG